AUUCUUUGAUAGCCUUUGGUGAGGUUGACAUCAAUCGAUGAGAUCUUUGUGGUUUAAGUUGCGAGUCUUUUCUUCAGUUACAUUAAAACGAGAAAACUUUAUAUAGGCUAACUGGUCAGCCUCAACCGAUGGGACCUUGGUUUUUAGUUGCGAGUCUUUUCUUCAGUUACAUUUAAAAAGAAAUGUCAAUUAAUUGGUUGACUUCAAUCAAAGGGACCUUUGUGGUUUUAGUCGCGAGUCUUUUCUUCAGUUACAUUUUAGAAGAAAUGUUAAAUAACAGGAAUUCGACGAUGAGCAGUCUGCAGUUUGUCAGGGGUAGUUCUACAUCAACGGAUUACUCAGUAUCAACAUUAUUUUCAAAACUUCACAAUCAAGGACAACAUUUACAGAUAAGAUAUAUAAUUUCACUACUUUCAAUCCUCCAAGGUGAAAUUGCUAUUGAUGAUUUAACAAUUUGCGUUCAUAAUGAAAAGCUACUGGAAAAGAAAUUAUAUCCUCGAAGGAGUGGUAUUUUAAAACUGGUUUUGCAUUUUGCCAGAUGUGGUUUGAGACCAAAAACUGUUGCCAAGCCUCGGGUUUAUCAUGGGCAGUAGGGGACGGGCGACGGGUGUUAAGCCAAGUGCUUAAUCAUCCGUCGCCCGUCCCCUACCACUGAAACUUAGUUUGGUUUAGGUUGUAAAUAUUGUAUUAUGUUUGUACAUGUAGUAUUGGUACAUUUUAAUUUGUUUUAAGCUGAUGUUUUGUUUUGUUUUUGGGUGUAUAUUAGGUGUAUGUGUCUUAUGUUUUUUAACCUGUGUGGUAGAGCCACUAUACAAUGCUUGGGCAUUUACAAGUCAAAGCAAAUACUCUGGUCAAAUGUCAAAAAUUCUUUAAAAUUAGAGCAUCCAUCCAAAUGAUUUAUAAUCAUUGACUAUUCAUUGUGUCAAAUUUACAAAUUUAUGAAUAACCAUUUUUGACUAUGACUAUUGUAAGACCAUUUUUUAAUAAUAGGUGUUCAAAGAAUGUACCAUUUUCAACAAGAGGAUAUAGUUUAAACAAUUUUUCCAUAUGGCCAGUUUUUAGACCAUUAAAAUUGUUUCUGUUAAAUGUCCAAUUAUAAUAUUUAACCCUGUGGAUCUUUUCCUAGCGCACAUUACUAAUAGAGAGUAACGAAAAAUCAAUAAUAGGCCUAGGUCUACUUGUAAACAUUUCAUGUUUUUGAAAAACAUUGGUUGGUUGGUACCUAACAAAUAUAAUUCUAUGAGUCAUAAAAUAUUUCUAGACCAAUUAAGAAUAAGAAUCUUUAUUACCCUUUAGAAAAACCUUUUACAGUGCAAUAGGGUUGCCAUUUUGCUACAUAAUAGAAUUUGUUUACAGCUACUUUAAGUUUUUAGUCACGAAAUAUUCUUAUAUACCGUACCAAACAUGACUCUCUUUCCUGUAAAAACAAAAAAUUGCUUUCGCCAAGCAUACAUAAUGACAGAUUUUGACAUUGAAUUUGCAAUAAAAUUUCUGUUACGACUGUCUGUCAUUAGUGAGGUAAUAUUUUAUGUAAAACGGUACCUUUAUUUUUGGUUAACAGUCUAUAUAACUCUUUAGAUAGUUGUGCCACAGCAAAAUUUAUAUUGUUAAAUAUAAUUAAUAACAAGGCAUUCAAUAUCUUGAAAUUGUUGGUUUUUUGCUAACGCAAUUAAUUAUAUAAAUGCUUGUUUAAAAUCUCACCAUUGGUAAAUAUUUGAAGACGAAACACUAGCUUACGUUUUAUAAGCCUAUCUAUAACCGUCAUUCACUUGUACUAAAAUAAUUUUUAUUUGCUUUGUACAACUAAAGGUUAAGAACCUUACUUUAGAAUAGCUUGAAAGAUUUACAAUAAAAAUUAUAAUGGACAGAUUUUAAAUCAUUUAUCCUUUCAUCCUUUUCCUAAAUAUUUCUGUUUAAUUUAUAUGAUUUUUUCUAACGUUGCAAUAACCUCAUGUUGCUGUAUUUGUUAGGAGACUCUAAUGAAAUUAUCAAUUGUCAAAUACAGUUUUGAUGUUGUAUCAGUAAGUUAAGGCUGUUUGGGAUGAAAGUAUAAUCAUUUUAAGCUUAAU
Long non-coding RNA from Macrosteles quadrilineatus (aster leafhopper), 2069 nucleotides. RefSeq lists it as uncharacterized. The transcript is spliced from 5 exons. The record is from RefSeq and is a predicted model, not a curated record. Lineage: Eukaryota; Metazoa; Arthropoda; Insecta; Hemiptera; Cicadellidae.